RNAcentral lists this ribosomal RNA (3583 nucleotides) under Triticum aestivum (bread wheat). RNAcentral's name for it is "partial small subunit ribosomal RNA". Lineage: Eukaryota; Viridiplantae; Streptophyta; Magnoliopsida; Poales; Poaceae. The record is from RNAcentral.
CUCUGCCCUUCCUCCGUCCUCCCCCCCCCUCCGCCGGUCGGCAGCCAAGGCAACGCCCACCCACGCCGAAAAUGGCCCGGCCGACCCUACCUAGGGCAGGGGCUGGGGUUGGGGUUCAGGGGUUGGGAGGGAGGAUGGAGCGAGGAGGACACGACCGAUCGAUCGAUACCACCAGCACCGGAAAAUAACGGCGAGGGGAGGAGGCAGGCGGGUGAGAUGACGAACGAAAACCCGCGGCACCACCACCUACCAACCAACCAAGGGAAGGCGAGGAACAACUGCGGGCCGAGUCCGGGUGCUCUCUCUCGUCUCGUCUCGCUCGCUCGCUCGCUCGCCGCCCCAUCAUGGUGACCCACGGUGACGUAGUAGGCAGGAGGCAGGGGUUGUCCUGUCUCUUUCCCCCUCUCUCUCCGUCCGUCUCCGACGGUGCGUCACCCGCGCGGUAUUUCCUGGCCCGACGCCCGCCCGCCCGCCCGCCUGCCUGCCUGCCUCAGGUGGCUCUAGGCCCUCGGUCGCGGCGCUCUAGGCGACGGCCUAAGCGGGCGGCCGACGGCGCGGAGGGGGGGCGAUUUCGAGCCAGGAAACCCCCCUGCCGCACCACCACCACCACUUGACCACCACCGCGGAGCCGAACCAGCACACCCGCAGGGGUACCGCGCCUGCGCGAGCGACCUGCGCCCGCUGCUCCUCAAGAAGCUGAGGUCCCUCUGGUAGAGCGGCGGGAGGCAGCGGAGCGGCCGGUCGAGGCCGGCGGUGUCGCCGCGGCCGCUGCCGCUGCCGCAAAACGAGACGCCGCCCCGGGACGAGCUCCAGACCCGGUGCCCGGGGAAGUCGCAGCUCCUCGCGGCGCUCGCCAAGCAGGCGAGGGACCCGGAGGACCUAGGCCCUCUUAGCCCCGGCGCGGGCUACGGGGCGCGGUCGAACCUCUAGCAGGACCGGUCGGGGCGGCGCCGCGGCCGGAGCGGGCGGGGAGCAGAGCGCGCGCCCCGACGGCCCCUCCCCCUCCUCCGCCCCCGCGGGCCGGCUUCGCCGCCGCCGCCGCCGCCGCUCCUGCCGGACCUCACGCACAAGUUCUUGGACCUGCUGCCGUGCCAGAAGCAGCAGGUGCUCGACCCGUUCCUGCCGUCGAAGGCCUCGGAGGCCCUCGCGGCGAGGUUGGCCUGGCAGUGGCGGCGCCUUAAGCUCUCCUAGAGGCCGAGGAGGGGCAAGUAGGCGCUCUACUACGCGGCCCACCUGCUGAGGAGCCUGCUCGGGAGGUGGGGCCUCUUCAGCUCCGCGGCCUCCUCCGCCGCCAAGCCCACCGAGGCCUCCGACCCGCAGCCGCGGACGCAGCAGCUGCGACUCCUGCUGCUGCUCCGCUUAAGGUGGAGGAGGUCGAGGACGGCCUCGACGCGGCCCUUCGGGCCCUUCCGGCAACUGUCCCAGUUCCAGUCCGGUAUGUUCUUCGCCAGUUUCCUUAACAGUCGCCACAUGUCCCCGGUUCUGUAGUCCCGCGUGUUCCCGCGGUAACACCGGUACUUCAAGUCGAGGCUGCCCGUCAUGGACCGGUGGCCUCCGCUCCUGCCCCACCACGCGCACACCGCCCACCACCUCCCGCUCUCCGGGCUGCUCGAGCUGAAGCGGCUCCUGCUAGGCAGCACGCAGAAGAAGUGACAGUUACUCUUGAGACUUGACCGAGGACAGUUGAGCUCGCUUCCCUGGUUCUCGUUUGUCCUGUUCUCGAGUUUCCCCGUUCGUCUAGGCCGGACGCAACACUAGGGAGUGGCCUGGAAACGCGACAGAGUCCAGGGACACGUACUUAAGAUACCCGUACUACUACGGUAGAACCUAGAGAGUACCAGGUUUUUACCCCUGAACUAAAGACGUAGAUACCUAUUUUGACGAGCUGACACCGCCCAGCCCACGUUAUCAACAGAGUUCCAAAAGAUGGUGUUAUUGAUGCACUGUACGCAAGUCAAAGUGGGAUGCUCACUGUUAAUAAAAUAGUCGCCGACGUAGCUGCCCAACCAAGCGUAAACCCUACAAGCAUUUACGGAUCACCAUCUGACCCGAUUGUCGUUUCUCUAUUAGUGGCGUCAGACAAUGGCCGGACUACCUUUCCCCCAUCACCAACCCUGGUAUUGUCCUUUAACGGCGAUGAUGCUACGUAGUCUUUUAGCAGAUCUUGACCUUAGAGUCCAGAGAGACUUACCGUCUUUCUUCAGAGGUGAAUUUUCUUAUCAACCAAAGGUCAUGACGGGUAGACUAGGUUUCUUCAACUACCAUUGUAGACCACUGAGUGUUCAAGCGUAAGAACUACCCCAAGUACAUUAAAGGUUGAUGUUUCCAAAUGUUUCGAGUUCGGUUCAACGGCGUAGUAAAUGGGGUCUGCCUCUAGUGUAAUAGAGACGAUCGCUGCUAAGGGCAUAGAUGUACACCUUAGUACACUUGGUUGAACGGGGUCAGUGUUCGGCGCACUUCUGUCACACCAGUAUGCUCGCAAAAAAGUCGUUGCUACGGAGGUAGCGGUAUGGCACCUUGCGGAGUGUCAGUUCCUUGAGAUAAAGUGACCGGACGUUGUAGGGCAGAAACGCCGUUCUUCAGAGCCCGCUGGAGACGCUGUAUGUCCUGUCGUCGUGUAGUGCGACGGUCUGACUUCUAACGGAACUUCUACUGUUGUACAAGGCCAAUGGUAGCCCGUUAAAGUGAGACUCGUCCCGCAAGGAACGCCUCAGACGAGGUUCCCCUUGUCGGUGAACCGGCCUCCUCGUAGACCGUAGGUUGAGGUGCUGCCGCAGAUGCAACGCAUUUAGAGUCAUGUUCAAGGACUUCCGCAGAACGGUCUUACGUCGGUGUGUACGGACCCCGGUCCAGUAUCAGUGGCGUUCGACCCUACCGGUGUAGUCCAGUAAGGUCUUGAUACCGAACGGCCACGUUCAAACUGUAGCGCAGAAGAGCCGUAACGAAGUAGCCACCUAAAGGGUCUUCGCUCCGCGGAGCUCUUCGGACCGACCGGGCUCGAACUGCGGGCAGGUCUAUAUGACAACGCCAUGUUACGCAGUGUACCGACCAAAGAACACGAUUGUACGAACACCUGGUAUUCAACAUACAUCGGGCCCACCAGGAGGUUCUAGGGCGGUCGUAGCUGCGUCCGGGGGAACCCUUCUUCUGCCUACGUAAGGAACCGACUUAAUACGUUUAGGAACACCAUCCCAGACCCAUGGUUCCGGAGAAACUACGGAAGUAAAACCGACAAAGCCUCGGGAGCACACGACCACUCCACACCACCUGUACCGGUCCACCCCCACCACGUCAACGUCAACCCAGAGGAGACUACCCUAGGGAUUGAGGUCCCUGGUCGGACCCGGACCCGAGGUCCCCAUACCAAUACCAUACCACCAUACCCCGAGUAGAUAGAGAGUGAGUGAGUGAGUACGAACGGACAGAGGAAGAGUUAUGGAAACUAACUAAUUUCGACCGACCCACUCACUCACGAGUCUAGAACUGGGAAAAAUGGAGGACGUAGCGUAACGGUACGGGGAGAGAGUGAAUAAUAAACCGUCACCGUCACUACUAUAGGACUGAAGUGGUUCCACUUUGACCG